Molecule: transfer RNA, 69 nt
Filed under: Streptomyces sp. PgraA7
Lineage: Bacteria; Bacillati; Actinomycetota; Actinomycetes; Kitasatosporales; Streptomycetaceae
Also listed under: 3 other names
Description: tRNA_Val_GAC
Rfam family: tRNA
About the family: Transfer RNA (tRNA) molecules are approximately 80 nucleotides in length. Their secondary structure includes four short double-helical elements and three loops (D, anti-codon, and T loops).
Source: RNAcentral
CGAUUAGCUCAGCGGGAGAGCGCUUCCCUGACACGGAAGAGGUCACUGGUUCAAUCCCAGUAUCGCGCA